This 214-nucleotide long non-coding RNA is filed under the name Prunus persica (peach). Its description in RNAcentral is "long non-coding RNA (PPER_LNC007961)". The record is from RNAcentral. Lineage: Eukaryota; Viridiplantae; Streptophyta; Magnoliopsida; Rosales; Rosaceae.
UUUGAAUCCUCCCUUCCUUAAUAUCACUUGUGUGUAGAAAGAAAAAACUAAUAAAAGCAUGAGAGUCCUUGAUCAUCUCACAGUAAUUGGACGAUGAAUUCUUAAUAAGAGUGACCCAUUUAUCUUUUCUUUGUUGAUUUCUCUCUUUUUCUAACAGCCAAACAUGUUUUCUUUAACCUAUAUCCCUUUAUGCAAAAAUCUAUUUACCCAGUUA